CAGUCGCCGCGGGAAUACGGAGGGUGCAAGCGUUAAUCGGAAUUACUGGGCGUAAAGCGUGCGUAGGCGGUUCGUUAAGUCUGUUGUGAAAGCCCCGGGCUCAACCUGGGAAUGGCAAUGGAUACUGGCGAGCUAGAGUGUGUCAGAGGAUGGUGGAAUUCCCGGUGUAGCGGUGAAAUGCGUAGAGAUCGGGAGGAACAUCAGUGGCGAAGGCGGCCAUCUGGGACAACACUUACGCUGAGGCACGAAAGCGAGGGGAGCAAACAGGAUUAGAUACCCGCGUAGUCCCUGUCUCUUAUAC
This 301-nucleotide ribosomal RNA is filed under the name uncultured bacterium. RNAcentral's name for it is "partial 16S ribosomal RNA". It matches the Rfam family "Bacterial small subunit ribosomal RNA", at positions 509 to 807 of the family's 1533-position model. The record is from RNAcentral.